This 320-nucleotide long non-coding RNA is filed under the name Theobroma cacao (cacao). RNAcentral describes it as "long non-coding RNA (TCAC_LNC005506)". The record is from RNAcentral. Lineage: Eukaryota; Viridiplantae; Streptophyta; Magnoliopsida; Malvales; Malvaceae.
CCAAGCAAGCCUAUCCAUUUACCUUUGCUUAACAAAUUUAUCAUAUCAUGCAUACACACACACACACUUUUUCCCGGGUGUGAACAUAGCCAAAACACAAUGGCAUUAUCGAUAAUAAUAUACAUACACUAUACCAGUCAUGUAUUUAGCAAUUUACAUUGUAUACACAUAUUCACAUUGUUAAAUUGUAUUCACAAUACAAAAGGACCCAUGACUUCCAGCGGAGACAUUUACAAUAAAAGGGAUUACUAUCGAAUGCCAGACACAUACCCAGGAGAUGCACUAUGGGGACUCCUCGAUCUAGGGUCCAAUAGUCACCU